This 74-nucleotide transfer RNA is filed under the name Marmota monax (woodchuck). RNAcentral's name for it is "tRNA.Undet". Lineage: Eukaryota; Metazoa; Chordata; Mammalia; Rodentia; Sciuridae. The record is from RNAcentral.
UGGGGUUGUGGCUCAGAGGUAGAGCGCUUGCCUUAGCAUGCCUGAGGCACUGGGUUCAAUCCUCAGCACCACAA